This 519-nucleotide ribosomal RNA is filed under the name Pseudomonas sp. Its description in RNAcentral is "bacterial SSU rRNA". It matches the Rfam family "Bacterial small subunit ribosomal RNA", at positions 112 to 627 of the family's 1533-position model. Lineage: Bacteria; Pseudomonadati; Pseudomonadota; Gammaproteobacteria; Pseudomonadales; Pseudomonadaceae. The record is from RNAcentral.
AAUGCCUAGGAAUCUGCCUGGUAGUGGGGGACAACGUUUCGAAAGGAACGCUAAUACCGCAUACGUCCUACGGGAGAAAGCAGGGGACCUUCGGGCCUUGCGCUAUCAGAUGAGCCUAGGUCGGAUUAGCUAGUUGGUGAGGUAAUGGCUCACCAAGGCGACGAUCCGUAACUGGUCUGAGAGGAUGAUCAGUCACACUGGAACUGAGACACGGUCCAGACUCCUACGGGAGGCAGCAGUGGGGAAUAUUGGACAAUGGGCGAAAGCCUGAUCCAGCCAUGCCGCGUGUGUGAAGAAGGUCUUCGGAUUGUAAAGCACUUUAAGUUGGGAGGAAGGGCAGUAAGAUAAUACCUUGCUGUUUUGACGUUACCGACAGAAUAAGCACCGGCUAACUCUGUGCCAGCAGCCGCGGUAAUACAGAGGGUGCAAGCGUUAAUCGGAAUUACUGGGCGUAAAGCGCGCGUAGGUGGUUUGUUAAGUUGGAUGUGAAAGCCCCGGGCUCAACCUGGGAACUGCAUC